GAUGAACGCUGGCGGCGUGCCUAAUACAUGCAAGUCGAGCGAACAGACGAGGAGCUUGCUCCUCUGACGUUAGCGGCGGACGGGUGAGUAACACGUGGAUAACCUACCUAUAAGACUGGGAUAACUUCGGGAAACCGGAGCUAAUACCGGAUAAUAUACUGAACCGCAUGGUUCAAUAGUGAAAGACGGUUUUGCUGUCACUUAUAGAUGGAUCCGCGCCGCAUUAGCUAGUUGGUAAGGUAACGGCUUACCAAGGCAACGAUGCGUAGCCUACCUGAGAGGGUGAUCGGCCACACUGGAACUGAGACACGGUCCAGACUCCUACGGGAGGCAGCAGUAGGGAAUCUUCCGCAAUGGGCGAAAGCCUGACGGAGCAACGCCGCGUGAGUGAUGAAGGUCUUCGGAUCGUAAAACUCUGUUAUUAGGGAAGAACAAAUGUGUAAGUAACUAUGCACGUCUUGACGGUACCUAAUCAGAAAGCCACGGCUAACUACGUG
RNAcentral lists this ribosomal RNA (497 nucleotides) under uncultured bacterium. RNAcentral's name for it is "partial 16S ribosomal RNA". It matches the Rfam family "Bacterial small subunit ribosomal RNA", at positions 28 to 507 of the family's 1533-position model. The record is from RNAcentral.